AUUGAACGCUGGCGGCAUGCUUUACACAUGCAAGUCGAACGGUAACAGGCCGCAAGGUGCUGACGAGUGGCGAACGGGUGAGUAAUGCAUCGGAACGUGCCCAGUCGUGGGGGAUAACGCAGCGAAAGCUGUGCUAAUACCGCAUACGAUCUAUGGAUGAAAGCGGGGGACCGUAAGGCCUCGCGCGAUUGGAUCGGCCGAUGUCAGAUUAGGUAGUUGGUGGGGUAAAGGCCCACCAAGCCAACGAUCUGUAGCUGGUCUGAGAGGACGACCAGCCACACUGGGACUGAGACACGGCCCAGACUCCUACGGGAGGCAGCAGUGGGGAAUUUUGGACAAUGGGCGCAAGCCUGAUCCAGCAAUGCCGCGUGCAGGAAGAAGGCCUUCGGGUUGUAAACUGCUUUUGUACGGAACGAAACGGUCUGGGUUAAUACCCUGGGCUAAUGACGGUACCGUAAGAAUAAGCACCGGCUAACUACGUGCCAGCCGCCGCGGUAA
Molecule: ribosomal RNA, 498 nt
Filed under: uncultured bacterium
Lineage: Bacteria
Description: partial 16S ribosomal RNA
Rfam family: Bacterial small subunit ribosomal RNA
Source: RNAcentral